AUAGAUUUGGUCUGACUUUUUGUCAGUAUCUUUCAAUAACAGUCUGAAAUCAUCUACUGGAUUCUGAAAAUUAUUUUCUACUAUCUAGCUUCCUGUGAGGAAUUUCCAAGAAGCCACGAUGUUACAUACAGUCAGUUUUGGUCCUCUGCCUCUCCUUUAUCAGAGUUCUUUCCAACUUUGCCAUUGUGAUCAACGAAAACAGAGAACUCCCCAGACACUCUCAAGAGGUACUAGAGGAUGGGGAGAUGACAUCACUUGGGUAAAGACUUGUGAAGAAGAUCUUUCAUACUCAAAACAGAUCCUUCUUAACAGUCAGAGCUGAUAUAACUGGAAGAUAUUCUAAUAGACUGUAUACAUAUGAACCUCAGGACUCACCAGCAUGUAAGUAUUCACAAAUUGUCUUGAACAGUGGUAGGAGCUUUGUUUGUUAGUAGGUCAGUGAUGCCCUACAUCUACCUAGUCCCACAUACAGCGCUAUUCACAAAUGGGAAUCACCAGAGUCAGUGGUGGAGGUAGUGUUUAAAAA
RNAcentral lists this long non-coding RNA (526 nucleotides) under Vulpes vulpes (red fox). RNAcentral's name for it is "lncRNA (ENSVVUG00000008625.1)". The record is from RNAcentral. Lineage: Eukaryota; Metazoa; Chordata; Mammalia; Carnivora; Canidae.